Equus asinus (donkey) is the source of this 2592-nucleotide long non-coding RNA. NCBI's taxonomy places the organism in Eukaryota, Metazoa, Chordata, Mammalia, Perissodactyla, Equidae. The record is from Ensembl.
GUGAAAAUAAUGCACGCGCCGCCUGGCACACAGAAGGCCCUGGACGCAGGGCACCCAGGAGAGAGACUGACACCGAGCCCCAGUGGAGGUGACACGGGAGCUGAAUCAGGGUCUUAAGGCUAACGAGGUACCUUCGAGGGAGUUCAGGCCAUGAGGACCAGGGAGGUGGAGAAACAGCAGAAAGGGGAGGGACAAGGGGACCGUCCUAGCCUGGUGUCGUGGCUCCCCCGGGCCCACGUACCUUGCCCUCGUGGCAGCGCUCGGCCGCGCUCACCGACCUGGCCUUGAUGACCAGCAGCACGAAGAGAGGCUCCAGGAAGCCGGCGGCGGGUAAGGCCACGAGGUUGCUGCCCACGAGCUAAGGAGCUGUGCCCCCAACUGUCCUCGUUGGCCCCGCCCCUCACCCAGGCUACGCCCCAACGGCGCAGCCCACAACCCGAGUGUCCAUCCUCUCCCUCCGCUCCAGCCCCGGGUAAACCUCACCCCACCCUGCUGUCCAGGCCCCGGGCCACCUUCUGCCCACCUCCAUCCACCUCGCUGCUAGAUUCUCAACUCUCCGCAGAGCCUCCGAGACCCGCCCAUCUCCCCGACCCUACCGCCCUCACUCCUCCCAGACUGAUCCUCCCAAACGGCUCCUCUCUCGGACCCCGCCCACCGCUCGCCCCGCCCCUGUGACCUGGUCUGUCCCUUGGCUGUCCCUGCCCUCCCCACUGCUCCCCUGGAGGGCGCCACAGCCUGGCGGAUACGCGACGAUCUCGUCCAUAGAGAAGGGAAGCUGAGUCCUGUACACUGGGAACAUCAGGACGGUGACCAGCAUGGCGCCCGAGAACAGGCAUAGCGACAGGACCUACAGCAUGAAGACACGGAAAUUGCGGUGACAGACGCAGUUGUUGACCCACUUGCAGUGGCGGUCAAAGUCCUGGGCAAGAGGAUGGGGGGCUCCCCUGCAGGACCAGGCCUGGCCUCCAUAGCCCCCAAACCUGAGCCUUACCCUAGACCCCUAGGCUAGCUGGUCCCCGGCACUGGCUCUGUUUCCUGGGAGAAACGAAGCCACAAAGUCCCAAUCGCUGGCUUUUCUGUGGUUAGAGCACUUCAGGGCUCUGUGGCUCAAGGUCACCUGUCAAGAGGCCUCUAGAGACUAGGCCUGCCUGGCCUUCUGUGGGAACAUCCUGAUGUAACCUUGGGCAGGACAGAGAAUAUCUUGGGCCCUCUCUUUCCUCAUCCACUGAAUGAGAGUAAGGUUGACUUCCCUUCACCAGCCUCCCAGGGUUUUGUAAGUAGCAGAUAAGACAGCACAUUUGUAAACCUUGGCAGGCCAUGCACGAGAGAGACAAGCUCUCAGAACACAGUUGAUUGUCUGGCAUGGAACCCCAGAAGAGGACAGGCAAAUCCUCCCAGGCUGGGCCUGCAGCUGGCCAUAGGGCCCUGGGGCAUCUAGUGUCAGCGAGGCCUGGUGUAGGACAAGGGUGCCUUUCCUCCCCCUGGCCUGACCAGGGCAAGCAUAGAUGUGGAUGCACCUGUGCCUGUCAGCACCUGGCUAGGCAAGGGCCAGCCUCCCAGGACAGCUGCAGGCACAGAUGCAGUGACCUGCAUGAGUGACCAAGAGUGGCUGGGAGUGACUGCCACUCUUGGCAUUUAGCAGUCUUGGAAGUAGUUUCACACCUGCCACGGGCACCUCAAGGGCUGAGAACUCACCUUGAUGCAAGAUGCCAGGGUCUGACACAUUGAGGGAAACGAGACUGAAGAAGGUCAGGAUGAAGAGGGGGCAUGUGACAACGGGAUCGACCCAUUCCCUGUUCUGGACCAGCCAUCUGCAACUGAGACCAGAGCAGGACUCAGCCCUGAUCUGCAGGAGAAACCUGCUGGCCUGGGUGGGAGACUCAUGGGAAUGUGAAGAAGAGGCCACUAAGGACGAGCAGCAGCACGACACUGAAGGCAGCGAACAGGCUCAGGAGCAUCCAGGGAAGUGGGUCCUGAGGUCUGCCACCCCGCAAGAGAGCGGCAUGGCAGCACCUCCAGUGCCCAUAGGCGCCCUUGCCGAUACUGGCUCCAGGAGCCCUAUGUCGACAGCGACUGUUGAAGACAUAUUGAGCGCCCAAGCCACAGCCCAGGUUGGAAGGCAGAAGUCCCAGUGUGACAUCACCGAGGCUGAGGAGAAUGUGGGCUAGGGGCUCUGCAGCCUGUGACCAGCACUUCCAACGGCAACGCCCGCCACCCCCACUGGCUGGGGACUGAGAGGUCCUGCCCCUGCCAGUAUGUGAGUGAGCUGCCUUUCCCAGAAAGUCAAGGUCCAGACAUCAAGAUUCAGCCUCACAAAGCCAAAAGCAGGCUGAAGAUGAAAACUAACCAGAAAAGUCCAGUUGGUCAAGGAAAAAGAAAUUCAGUCUUCAAGGCCCAACACAGGCUGGCAGGAAGGCCCUAACCUGCAUGGCCACAGGCUCCCACCCACCUACAUAAAACCCCAGCACAUGCUCUCCUUCCCCUACCUAAAACCCUAGAGAAAAACCUACCUUUUUCCCUUCAAGGAGGUGGAUCUGAGUUCUAACUCCCAUCUCCUCCUCUUUCAAUACUAAAGGUCUUUUCUUGCCACAA